CCUACGGGAGACAGCAGUGAGGAAUAGUGGUCAAGGGGCGCGAGCCUGAACCAGCCAAGUAGCGUGAAGGAUGACUGCCCUACGGGGGGUAAACUUCUUUUAUAAAGGAAUAAAGUGAGGCACGUGGGCCGUUUUGUAUGUACGUUAUGAAUAAGGAUCGGCGAACUCCGUGCCAUCCGCCGCGGUAAUACGGAGGAUCCGAGCGUUAUCCGGAUUUCUUGGGUGUACAGGGAGCGUAGAGGGGUUGUUAAGUCAGUUGUGAAAGUUUGCGGCUCCACCGUAAAAUUGCCCUUGAUACUGGCAGCCUUGCGUACAGUUGCGGUAGGCGUACUUC
This 334-nucleotide ribosomal RNA is filed under the name uncultured bacterium. RNAcentral's name for it is "partial 16S ribosomal RNA". It matches the Rfam family "Bacterial small subunit ribosomal RNA", at positions 338 to 669 of the family's 1533-position model. The record is from RNAcentral.